RNAcentral lists this ribosomal RNA (252 nucleotides) under uncultured bacterium. Its description in RNAcentral is "partial 16S ribosomal RNA". It matches the Rfam family "Bacterial small subunit ribosomal RNA", at positions 524 to 776 of the family's 1533-position model. The record is from RNAcentral.
UACGUAGGAUGCGAGCGUUAUCCGGAUUUAUUGGGUUUAAAGGGUGCGUAGGCGGAUCGUUAAGUCAGUGGUCAAAUUGAGGGGCUCAACCCCUUCCCGCCAUUGAAACUGGCGAUCUUGAGUGGAAGAGAAGUAUGCGGAAUGCGUGGUGUAGCGGUGAAAUGCAUAGAUAUCACGCAGGACCCCGAUUGCGAAGGCAGCAUGCCGGCUUCCGACUGACGCUGAAGCACGAAAGCGUGGGGAUCGAACAGG